UCUCAAAUGUGGCCAAAUUUCAUCUCAAUAUGUGGCCGUCCAAAUCCAAAGGGAAGGUCCCUUCUAAAGAAAUAUAAACCGGUAAAUUUCACGUUGAUUGGCGCCGGUGCGCGCCGGUGCGCGCCGCUGACGUUUACACAAAAUGGCGUACUUUGCAACUGCACAAGUUAAAGUCGUCAAAGUUCACGAUGCAAUCCACUCUAAGUUGUUUUCUUAUCAGACUAGCAAUGCGAAUCAUGCUGUGUUCUCUCUAUUGUAUAACAUACGUACAGCUUCAAAAAGUUUACAAAUAAUAUACUAUGAAUGUGAUCGAGUGCUGAUAAAAUGGUAAAAAUAAAGGAAACAGAAUUAAAAAUCAGGAAACAGGAUUAAAAAAUUAUGAUAUAUAUCGAUGAUGAAUGGGAAAA
This is a long non-coding RNA of Plodia interpunctella (Indianmeal moth), 407 nucleotides long. RefSeq lists it as uncharacterized. The record is from RefSeq and is a predicted model, not a curated record. NCBI's taxonomy places the organism in Eukaryota, Metazoa, Arthropoda, Insecta, Lepidoptera, Pyralidae. The transcript has 3 exons.